GACGAACGCUGGCGGCGUGCCUAACACAUGCAAGUCGAGCGAGGAGAGUUCCUUCGGGAACAAACCUAGCGGCGGACGGGUGAGUAACACGUGGGCAACCUGCCUUGUAGAGGGGAAUAGCCUUCCGAAAAGGAAGAUUAAUACCGCAUAACAUUACAGUUUCGCAUGAAACAGUAAUUAAAGGAGUAAUCCGCUACAAGAUGGGCCCGCGGCGCAUUAGCUAGUUGGUGAGGUAACGGCUCACCAAGGCAACGAUGCGUAGCCGACCUGAGAGGGUGAUCGGCCACAUUGGGACUGAGACACGGCCCAGACUCCUACGGGAGGCAGCAGUGGGGAAUAUUGCACAAUGGGGGAAACCCUGGUGCAGCAACGCCGCGUGAGUGAUGAAGGUUUUCGGAUCGUAAAGCUCUGUCUUCGGGGACGAUAAUGACGGUACCCGAGGAGGAAGCCACGGCUAACUACGUG
Molecule: ribosomal RNA, 465 nt
Filed under: uncultured bacterium
Lineage: Bacteria
Description: bacterial SSU rRNA
Rfam family: Bacterial small subunit ribosomal RNA
Source: RNAcentral